RNAcentral lists this long non-coding RNA (651 nucleotides) under Felis catus (domestic cat). Its description in RNAcentral is "lncRNA (ENSFCAG00000045908.2)". The record is from RNAcentral. Lineage: Eukaryota; Metazoa; Chordata; Mammalia; Carnivora; Felidae.
AUGGUUGAUUUCAUAUGUAUUUUGCUUUCUUCUUUAGGAGCAGAUAAGAAUGCUGAGGAAGAUUCUAUAUCCAGGCUUUCGGACAAACCUGGUCCUGAUGAUUCAUGGUCUACAUCAUCUAGCCAAGUCUUAGAUUUUGGUACCAAGGUAAAGUACCCUCCUGUGAAACUCACUUUCCUGCUCUGAAUUGAGUUUUCUCCCUUAUUUACUCUGAAAAUUUAAGAGGAGCCUGUGUAUCAUCAUUUUAUGUGUGUCAUGGAAAGUUAGCAAGAACAAACCACUUUACAGAUACAUGACGCGUUGAAUGUCUUGUUUUGUUUUGUUGUACUUUGGUAAAUCCUACAGGUGGAGGCUGAUAAAAGAAUGGGCUGGAAAACAUAUAAUGACCGUCAUAUUAUGUUGGGAAAAGCUUUCCCAUCAUGGAGGCAAUAUGACAUUUGCUUAAGGAUAAGGAUUCUUACUGUGAUAGUAACAUGACUGAUAAUACUCAGGCCUAAAUGAAACCUGAUUGGGUCCAAGUAUCUAUUGUAGGGUGCCCCCCCCCCCGGCCCCGGGCAAGUUUUAUUUUGGUGACAUACAGGAUUUCCUUUGGCUCUAUCCUUUGUUCUACAUUUAGACGAAAAUAAUAUUAUAUAUAUAUAUAUAUAUAUA